AGCCACAUCACAUUAAAGCACCAGUUCCUGUAUGAUCACUGAUGUUAAGCAAUGUCAAGCUUGGUCAGUACCUAGAUGGGUGACCAUUUGAGAAUAUCAGGUGG
Molecule: ribosomal RNA, 104 nt
Filed under: Acanthosepion pharaonis
Lineage: Eukaryota; Metazoa; Mollusca; Cephalopoda; Sepiida; Sepiidae
Source: RNAcentral